Molecule: ribosomal RNA, 250 nt
Filed under: uncultured prokaryote
Description: partial 16S rRNA
Rfam family: Bacterial small subunit ribosomal RNA
Source: RNAcentral
ACGUAGGGGGCUAGCGUUAUCCGGAAUUACUGGGCGUAAAGGGUGCGUAGGUGGUUUCUUAAGUCAGAGGUGAAAGGCUACGGCUCAACCGUAGUAAGCCUUUGAAACUGGGAAACUUGAGUGCAGGAGAGGAGAGUGGAAUUCCUAGUGGUGCGGUUAAAUGCGUAGAAAUUAAGAGGAACACCAGUUGGGAAGGCCGCCCUCUGGACUGUAACUGGCCCUGGGGCAACAAAGCGUGGGGAGCAAACAG